RNAcentral lists this long non-coding RNA (1186 nucleotides) under Anas platyrhynchos platyrhynchos (common mallard). RNAcentral's name for it is "lncRNA (ENSAPLG00000021018.1)". Lineage: Eukaryota; Metazoa; Chordata; Aves; Anseriformes; Anatidae. The record is from RNAcentral.
CCAACCCCGUCUCCAUCAUCCCCAUUCUCCUCAUCCCCAUGGUCUCCACCUCCGUUUCCAACAUCCUCCUCACCCCCAUGGUCUCCAUCCCCGUCUCCAUCAUCCCCAUCCUCAUCCUCAUCCCCAUGGUCUCCAACCCCAUCUCCAUCAUCCCCGUUCUCCUCAUCCCCAUGGUCUCCACCUCCGUUUCCAUCAUCCUCAUCAUCCCCAUGGUCUCCAUCCCCAUCCUCAUACUCAUGUUCUCCAUUUCCAUGGUCUCCAUCAUCCCCAUCCUCCCCAUCCCCAUGGUCUCCAUCCAUCCUCAUCCCCAUCCCCACGGCCCCAUCUCCACCCCACUGCCUCCACCUCUUCUUCCAGGGCCUCCCAGGAGAGAGGGGUCUGGCCGGCCCCGAGGGGAAACCGGGCUUGCCAGGCUUCCCCGGCGUGCUGGGACGCCCGGUAGGUCCCCGUGUCCCCCUGCGUGUCCCCGUGUCCCCCUGCAUGUCCCUGUCCCCCUGGUUCUUGCCCCAUGGGCGCUUGGCACGGCGCAUCCUGGUGGGAUCUGGCGGUGCUUGUCCCUGCUUGGCGCGGGUGCCCAGAGCCACCGUGCAGCGGGGACCCGCUGCCCACAUCUCUUCCUCCCCCCCCAGGGCAACCAGGGAGAGCCGGGACCACCAGGACCUCCGGUAAGGGUCCCCCCCAGUGUCCCCGUUGUCCCCAUGCUGGGAUCGUGCUGUCCUGCCACCCCCUCCUCGUCCUGAGGAGCCGUGCCACCAGCGGGCACCACGAGGACGAAAUGUUCCCUUGUUCCCUGCAGGGCACCGCUGGCCCCCCGGGGACCCAGGGCCCAGCUGGGAUGAAGGUACAUCAUCAUCAUCAUCAUCAUCACCAUCACCAUCACCAUCAUCACCAUCACCAUAUUUGACCCCGCAGAGGAACGCGCGGUGCCCUGCAGGCACCAGGGGCUGUGGGGAAAAAUGAGGGGCUGGUCCCCUGCUGGAGCCAGCCGCUGGGGGGCUCAGGGGACAUGGGGACAUGGUGGCAGGGCUGUUGGGGUGGUGGGACCGACGCGGGUGCUGUCUCCACAGGGUGACCCCGGGGAGCCUGGUGCCAGCAUCCGGGUGAGCCUCCACUCCCCCCCACCCGGUCCCUGACCCCAAAUCCCUUCCCAGGGGACAGAUGACGUCCCGGCGAGAUGUCCCAGCGU